GCUCCUCAGUUUUAAUCUUACCAUUUUAUUGUUUUACACAUGCGUUUUCUCUUAUGUGGGAUUCACAUUUUCCUUACCAUCAAUGUGUCAAUAAUAAAUUUUGUAGGCUUAUAGCUGUUGAUUCUUCCUACUACUGAGAGCUUACCUAAAACACCUUUCAUAGUGUCUUCAGAAUAUUCUUUUUGGUAAUGGCUCUGAAAGUAUCUGGUUGGUUAUAAAUUUAAGGCAAAAAGCCUAUUUUGGCGGUUGGCCCAUAAACUAAUAUCAAAUAAUCAAAUAAAUAAGACCUAAAACUUAAUUGGUGGUCAAAUAUACCCUUCAAUUUUUAAAAUAGAUUAAAUAAACCUUUUAUAACUUUAUUCUAAUUCAUUUAGGUCUAAAUUGUUAUUUCACCGUUAAAUACUUAUAAAAAAAUAAUACGAAAUUGUUUUAAAAUUUUUUAUUCAUUUUAAACAAAAAUAAUUAUAAUUAAUAAAAUCAACAUAUCUGGUUCUUCUUCCCUUCUCCUCUUCUUUUUCUUGCCUUCAGAACCCACAUUUCUAUCUUAAAGAUGUAAGCCCCUAGCCUAACCAUUACCAAAUACAAGCCAACUCAAUAGGAGUCGGAGAUUCCAUUCUUGCUCCUUUGAAUAAGAAGAGGCCAUUCUUUAGACCUUUGAAAAGUAGUUUAGUUGCCCAUAUCCCUGACGGGAAGUAGAGGUGAUCAUUCCCUCUUCUGAAAGUCAGUGGUGAUCUCACUUUCAAAAAGCACUCAGCUUAUUAACCAGGGCAGCCGCGUCUACCUUAUAAGGAAAGAGAAAAUUGUUCUCCAUAGAGUGAGGAUUUAAGAACAAAACUCAGUCUCCUUGGACUUACUCACAAAUCAUGCUCAACAAGAUCCACUUCUCUAAAUCUUCUCCAGUUGUCCCCAAGGAACGAGAAAAGCGAAAGCGAACAAGGGCAACGAAGAACAAAGAACUGGAGUGCCAGUGCAUGACCAACAUGGUUUGUUUCAUACCAAAAAUCAAAAUAAACAUUUAUUUUCCUUCCAUUUUCUUAGCAAGCAAACAUGGUUCAUAAAAAUAAUUCCUAAUUAAGUGGUGAAAAGAGAUUAAGUUGUUGAAAUCAGAUGCACACAUGAAACAAGAUGUGCAUUUACCCAAUGGAGAAACAGAAGAACAGUUCUUCUCGAAGAAAGUAGAGACGAUUAUGAAUGGAGAAAGAGAAGGAUGAGAAGAACAGCAGAAGAAAAGUUGAUAGAGAAUUUUUAAUUUUUUAAAAUAUAAAAAUAAUAUUUUAUUCAUGAUUCACUUAUUUUAUUAAUUUUUUAAUGCUGUUAGUUUUAGACAUAUUUAACCGAAAUUGAGACGUAAAGGGUUUAUUUGACCAUUCAUUAAGUUUUAGGUCUUGUUUGACUAUUCGAUGUUAUUUUAAGGGCCAAAAUAGCCUUUUGCCUAAAUUUAAUUUGUUCUUGAGAAAGUUCAUGGAAUCUGAAACUGCCGUGACAUUACUCUUGUUUGUCUAGAAGAAUUUGGUUCUGACAUAUGAAGCUUUGCUUUCUUGCUAAGUUGCUUUUAGAGUACUUCUGAUAUCCUUGUGCAUGUUUCUACUCGCUGUAUGCUACUCUGUAAUGCAAUUCAUAUUUCCCUCAAGACUAAAAAGUGGUAAUUUAAUAUCCAAGUCAAACUUGCCUAAUCUGUUGCGGGGUCUUGUAAUUAAGUGUUGGUUAUCAUUGAUUGUAAUGCAUACCUCUCUUCAGGGACAACUUAAGUUACAUCAGUGUACUAUACUACUAUCUUACUGUCUGGCUUAUCUACAAAAGCUGUCUGAAGAAUGCAGUAUAGUUGUUUUCUUGGUAUUGCGUUUGUUUUUCUAUUGGGAUACAAGUAGGGGUGAGCCAUAAAAAAAAAAAAGAACCAAAAAACUGAACUGAAAAAUUCGGUUUGCCAGUCCAUUCGGUUUGGUUUUGACUCAUAAUAUUUAAAGAUUUCUGUUUGGUUUUGUCCACUUCAUUCAAACUACACUAUUAAUUGAAAACAAAGUGAUCAUAUAAGUGUAGGACAACUAGCGUGAAUUAAACAACUUGUAGCAUGCUUAGGUGAGUGAGCUGGUACAACACCUUCUUACUAGUUUCCAACAUGGGAUGAGAGAAAUUUUAUUUUAUUUUUGUAUUUAUUUUUAUUUUUUUAUUCUUGUGGAAUAAAGUUAAAUUGGCCAUGAAUACUUAACAUG
RNAcentral lists this unclassified non-coding RNA (2210 nucleotides) under Hevea brasiliensis (rubber tree). The record is from RNAcentral. Lineage: Eukaryota; Viridiplantae; Streptophyta; Magnoliopsida; Malpighiales; Euphorbiaceae.